Long non-coding RNA from Oncorhynchus nerka (sockeye salmon), 958 nucleotides. RefSeq lists it as uncharacterized. The transcript has 3 exons. The record is from RefSeq and is a predicted model, not a curated record. NCBI's taxonomy places the organism in Eukaryota, Metazoa, Chordata, Actinopteri, Salmoniformes, Salmonidae.
UGGCCAUCACCGCUGUACCUCCCCUCACUACUGGAUACGACAGCAGCCAGGCGGACAACAAGGCUGUCCUCCCCUCCUCCACCAGUAGUCAGAUGAUCACAUUUAGUUUCUCUAACGGGGGCGUGGCCACCAUGAGGACCAGCGGAACGGAACCCAAGAUCAAGUACUACACUGAGCUGUGUGCUGCCCCUGGCAACCGUGAUGUUGCAGGUUUACAGAAGGAGUUAGAUGACCUGGUUAAUGCCAUCGUAGAGGACUUCUUCCAGCCCCAGAAGAAUAACCUGCUGUCCAAGCCUGAGUAACACACAUCAGUGGCUUGUCAACACAAAGACCCGCGCUGGUUUGACUUCCUGAUCAAGAUUCCCUUUCACACAUUCUUCUUCCAGAACUCACACACAUUCUAGAACUCACACACAUUGUAGAACUCACACACACACACACAUUCUAGAACUCACACACACACACACAUUCUAGAACUCACACACAUUCUAGAAGUCUUUAAUGGGUUGUACCUGGAGCUCUAAGUCUUAUCUACUAGCUGGAGUGCUGUGUAUUUGACCAAACACACAGGGUUACUAACUGUCGUUCAGGGUUUUAACUCCAACCCUGUUUGAGAAGAAGGAGGAGGAGUAGUACUACCACUAGGCUCCCGAGUGACUCAGUGGUCUGUCACUGCAUCACUACAGACCCUGGUUCGAUUCCAGGCUGUAUCACAACCGACCGUGAUUGGGAGGUCCCAUAGGACGGCGCACAAUUGGCCCGGCGUCGUCCGGGUUUGGCCGGUGGUAGGCCGUCAUUGUAAAUAAGAAUUUGUUCUUAAUUGACUUGCCUGGUUAAAUAAUUGUUUUUUAAAAAUACUGAUACCACUGCCUCCUCCUCAAUAACCAGCCUCCUCUGUAACCAUUACUGCAUAAUGUUUCAAGAACAACAAUAAAGAUGUGAUUUUUAAAAGGAAAAA